GAUGAACGCUGGCGGCGUGCCUAACACAUGCAAGUCGAGCGAUUCUCUUCGGAGAAGAGCGGCGGACGGGUGAGUAACGCGUGGGUAACCUGCCCUGUACACACGGAUAACAUACCGAAAGGUAUGCUAAUACGGGAUAACAUAAGAAAUUCGCAUGUUUUUCUUAUCAAAGCUCCGGCGGUACAGGAUGGACCCGCGUCUGAUUAGCUAGUUGGUGAGGUAACGGCUCACCAAGGCGACGAUCAGUAGCCGACCUGAGAGGGUGAUCGGCCACAUUGGAACUGAGACACGGUCCAAACUCCUACGGGAGGCAGCAGCGGGGAAUAUUGCACAAUGGGCGAAAGCUUGAUGCAGCAACGCCGCGUGAGCGAUGAAGGCCUUCGGGUCGUAAAGCUCUGUCCUCAAGGAAGAUAAUGACGGUACUUGAGGAGGAAGCCCCGGCUAACUACGUGCCAGCCGCCGCCGUAA
Molecule: ribosomal RNA, 468 nt
Filed under: uncultured bacterium
Lineage: Bacteria
Description: partial 16S ribosomal RNA
Rfam family: Bacterial small subunit ribosomal RNA
Source: RNAcentral